RNAcentral lists this ribosomal RNA (242 nucleotides) under uncultured bacterium. RNAcentral's name for it is "partial 16S ribosomal RNA". It matches the Rfam family "Bacterial small subunit ribosomal RNA", at positions 524 to 776 of the family's 1533-position model. The record is from RNAcentral.
UACGGGGGGAGCAAGCGUUGUUCGGAUUUACUGGGCGUAAAGGCGCGUAGGCGGCCUCCGCAAGUCGACUGUGAAUCUCCGGCUUAACCGGAACGGUCAGCCGAUACUGCGGGCUAGAGUGCAGAAGGGCAACUGGAAUUCUCGGUGUAGCGGUGAAUGCGCAGAUAUCGGAAGAACACCUAUGGCGAAGGCAGCUCUCUGGACGUACUGACGCUGAGACGCGAAGCGUGGGAGCGAACAGG